UCCAACAUAGUAUGUGUGUAGGUUUGCAACAUUUACUUAUUCCAUUGCCCUUCAGAAUGCUUUACCGGCUUUCUUGUGCUGCUUUAAGUAAGCAAAAGGGUGACAACGCUACUGAAUUUGCCAAGUGUCAUAUCCCAUCUGUUGUCGUUGAAGGUUCUCUUUUAUCCGGCUUGAAUCUCCUUUUGAGGGUACUGGGAGAUCUGAGCCAGAGAGUGCUGGGUCUUCCACAAUCAGUAAUGUAGAUAGUAUAAAUGCAGAUUAUGUAGAUGAUAACGCCCCUAGGCAUGUAAGUCCUUUAAGGACGGUCUUCCUUCUAUUCCGCGUAGGUGAUGAGAAUAGGCUGUAAUAUACUUUUCUUUUAAUGAAAAUUUAUUUCUGUCUCUUACUUCAUGUUCAUACCUGAGUUAUUUCAUGUCUUGUGUUUACGCUUGAAUUAUUUUUGCCUUUGUCUGUUUUUUAAUACUCUACCGAGCUAUCUAAACUAUUACAAGCACAAUUUGUUCAAAUUUUUUCAGAAUGAAAUACUCAAACUAUUCCCCGUAAUUCAUAAGGAAUUGAGCACACAGUCCCUUACCGCUUGCUUUUAAGCUAACCAGGGCUGAAGACUUAGCCCAAGACUUGGCUUCUGGCUUGUAAAUUUCUUCAAUUUCACAGGGGCCUUCUCACCUGUAGGCUUUUUCCGAGCUGGAUUUACUGUAAGGAUAAGAUUCUGAGCUGUGCUCCUUUACGGGUUUUGACUCCAUUAGGUCCUCAGCCUGAGCUCGGUUUUUAACAGUUGACCAGUCGUCCUCAAUUUUCUUUUCAUUACUUCAUGCAUAUGAUCUCAGGCGUAUAGCCUUUGUAUAAUCAAAGUAAAAUGGAUUAUGUACCUUUUAAGGGGAUAAACAGGGCUGGCCUUCUUAGUUUUAGUUCUGUUCCGACAGGAUUUGAGGUUGAGGCCUUAUCUUCUCACGCCAUUGGACUUUUUCUUAGCUUAUAGGAGGUGUGUUUUCUUCAGUUUGAUUUUUGAGCUUUCUGAGCUCGGCUUUCUUUUGCUUGGUUUUCUGAGUUCGUGUUUUUAGGUCGACACUUUUGGCCCAUUGUCGUCUUUCGUCUGAUGAUUCAGUUCUCGGGUAUGCCUCGACUGGGUCCUUUGCUGCUUAGAUCUUUCUCUAGGCUAGUCGAGCUGGUUUAGUGUCAUCAGUUAAUUUUGGGGGUCGGCGUCUUAAUAGCUUGUAAUCCGAGUUUGGAUUUAGACUUUUUAUUUCUG
Molecule: long non-coding RNA, 1249 nt
Filed under: Manihot esculenta (cassava)
Lineage: Eukaryota; Viridiplantae; Streptophyta; Magnoliopsida; Malpighiales; Euphorbiaceae
Description: long non-coding RNA (MESC_LNC008234)
Source: RNAcentral